GACGAACGCUGGCGGCGUGCUUAACACAUGCAAGUCGAACGGAAAGGCCCUGCUUUUGUGGGGUGCUCGAGUGGCGAACGGGUGAGUAACACGUGAGUAACCUGCCCUUGACUUUGGGAUAACUUCAGGAAACUGGGGCUAAUACCGGAUAGGAGCUCCUGCUGCAUGGUGGGGGUUGGAAAGUUUCGGCGGUUGGGGAUGGACUCGCGGCUUAUCAGCUUGUUGGUGGGGUAGUGGCUUACCAAGGCUUUGACGGGUAGCCGGCCUGAGAGGGUGACCGGCAACAUGGGGACGAGGAUACGGCCCAGCUUCCAACGGGAGGCAGAAGGGGGGAAUAUUGAACAAUGGGCGGAAGCCGGAUGCAGCAACGCCGCGUGCGGGAUGACGGCCUUCGGGUUGUAAACCGCUUUCGCCUGUGACGAAGCGUGAGUGACGGUAAUGGGUAAAGAAGCACCGGCUAACUACGU
This 467-nucleotide ribosomal RNA is filed under the name uncultured bacterium. RNAcentral describes it as "partial 16S ribosomal RNA". It matches the Rfam family "Bacterial small subunit ribosomal RNA", at positions 28 to 506 of the family's 1533-position model. The record is from RNAcentral.